UUUAAAUUAUUUUUACUAUAUUCUCUAGUCGUUUAUCGUUUAGCUAUAACAUUUUUUUAAAUAAAAAUUAAAGGUAGGAGAUAGGGAAAAGGGAAAGAAAAAUUGGGGAAAAGAAAAUGGGUUUUUAUGGUUAUUAUGAAUGCUCGAUUGAUUUCUCAUAGAUUAUGCUGGAAUCAACUUAAUAGUGUGCCGAUACUAUCCGACUUUGCCGUUAUCUGGUCGAUUUAUGAAUAAUGAAAUGAUGAUAAAAAUGUCUUUAGUUUAUAGAAUCAAAAAAUAUAACAAUAAAAUUAAAGCACAUAAAAGCGAAUAAAAUAUUCCAAUAAAAAGAAUAAUUAGCCGUGGCGCUUUAGCAUGUUUAACAUCCAGAUAAUAAAGAAAAUGAAAGGAGGGGGUUGCACCCAUAACCCCCCCUACUUAUUAUUUAGCUCGACUUAUAAAUGACCGGAGCUGACAACGCGACCUUUCAGGUUCCAAAUUCCACUAGAUAGAAUUCGUAUUGAUACUAUGAUAUGAUCUGCUAAUAUCGGUUAAUUUAGAUAUUUUAUAUGAAUUAAAGAAUCAAUCCUAUUCAAACCGAAGCUGAAGAGUUAAACGGGUAUUAAUCAUUAUUAUAUUCCAAUCCUAAGCUGAACAUUAACAAUUUUGUCACCCGAAUCUCUAAAAAAAAGCCCGUGAACUGAUAUUCUGUGUUUAUUGUUUUUUUGACGGUGCCGCGUAUAGAAGGCCCGGCAAGAAAACAAUUCAUUUAGACGCCAUAUUUCCCAAAGUGUUAGAGACACUAUAGCCAGCUUUGAUUGGAGGGAAAGUUGCAUCCAGCAUUUUGUGAAAAAUUUGGCAUACUUCUAAAGAAAAUUGAUUUUCUUGACAAAAACAAAUGUGUGGUAUUUUAUAUCGUAUCCAUUCGGUGUUUUAGGAUUAAAGCACCGAAGUCAGUCCGUUUUUUGUUCGGCUUAUGCAAGCCGAAAUUAAACACGUGCGAAAAAAUACAGAACUAAAGCUGACUUGUAUGAAGCCAUCUUUGAAAAAAAUGAAACCUGAUUAGCAAUGGCCAAACGUUUUACUGAUUUUAAAAAAAUAGGUGAUAAAGAAUAAAAAAUUGGAAAAAAGUG
Gordionus sp. m RMFG-2023 is the source of this 1112-nucleotide long non-coding RNA. RefSeq lists it as uncharacterized. Lineage: Eukaryota; Metazoa; Nematomorpha; Gordioida; Chordodea; Parachordodidae. The record is from RefSeq and is a predicted model, not a curated record. The transcript is spliced from 7 exons.